Molecule: ribosomal RNA, 512 nt
Filed under: uncultured bacterium
Lineage: Bacteria
Description: partial 16S ribosomal RNA
Rfam family: Bacterial small subunit ribosomal RNA
Source: RNAcentral
AUUGAACGCUGGCGGAACGCUUUACACAUGCAAGUCGAACGGUAACGCGGAGAGAAGCUUGCUUCUCUCCGGCGACGAGUGGCGAACGGGUGAGUAAUACAUCGGAACGUGUCCGCUCGUGGGGGACAACCAGCCGAAAGGUUGGCUAAUACCGCAUGAGUUCUACGGAUGAAAGAGGGGGACCCGCAAGGGCCUCUCGCGAGCGGAGCGGCCGAUGACUGAUUAGCCGGUUGGUGAGGUAACGGCUCACCAAAGCAACGAUCAGUAGCUGGUCUGAGAGGACGACCAGACACACGGGGACUGAGACACGGCCCAGACUCCUACGGGAGGCAGCAGUGGGGAAUUUUGGACAAUGGGCGCAAGCCUGAUCCAGCUAUUCCGCGUGUGGGAUGAAGGCCCUCGGGUUGUAAACCACUUUUGUAGAGAACGAAAAGACACCUUCGAACAAAGGGUGUUGCUGACGGUACUCUAAGAAUAAGCACCGGCUAACUACGUGCCAGCCGCCGCCGUAA